This is a long non-coding RNA of Raphanus sativus (radish), 1277 nucleotides long. RefSeq lists it as uncharacterized. Lineage: Eukaryota; Viridiplantae; Streptophyta; Magnoliopsida; Brassicales; Brassicaceae. The record is from RefSeq and is a predicted model, not a curated record. The transcript is spliced from 5 exons.
CGUGUCCAUACGAGUAAAGCGCAGCGCUUUGUUAAAUGAAAGUAUAUUCUGGGCUUUAGAUCGUGAAAGGGUAACGUACAAGUGAAGACAUGUGUUUCUUCUUUCUUCUACAUUCGACGGCUACAUGACGCUCGAGUUUCUUCGCGGUUACUGAAUCGGAUUUCUUUAUGGUUCUUGGGGUUUAAUCUCAUUAACUCUGACGCCCACAAUGAGCUAUUUAAUGUGUUGUUUGCGUCGGUGAAGCUCUGUCAUUUCGGGUAUAAAUAUGUUUGUAAUUCUCUUCUGGAUAUCAUCGUCUCCUCAUCUCUCUUCUCUAUACUAAUUCGCGGGUUGAUGGCUAACUCGACGGUGUUUUUCUCCGAUUUGAAGUUCGGCAAGUGUUCCACCGAGGAGGACGAUGUGCAGUGUAAGCCGCUCUUUAGGAUCUUACGGGUUAAAGUCAUAUACUGAGACAUCAAGGCCUCGAACAUCUUGCUGGACUUGUUUUCAGACUCUGUGUUAGAAAAAUACGGUCCCAUGAGAGAAACAAGCUAUUUUAGUACAGAAAUCAUGGGUACAUUCGACUAUGCGGCUCUUGACUAUGUGGCAACAGAUUUCAAGAAAGCGUUGGAUUGGCAAACAAUAUUUGGGAAAGAGACACAGCUAAGACACCGUUUUCAAAGCGAAGAUGCAAAUAUAUGAACAAAAGGAAAGCUUUUUAUUUCUCUUUUUUUACUGGAAAGACAAACUUUUGUGAUGCUGAUGAGUGUUUUUUUGUCUCAGAGAGUAGAGGAGGAGAAUUAAAAUUUCAGGUGGGAUCACAAGAACUCUAUACAGAACAAUGGAGAGACCCUCUGGAGGGAUGGGUUAUGUGUAAUGUGGCAAGAGAAGUCCAUGGUUGAUGCGGCAUGGGGUCUCAGAGAUGUGAAAUAGACUGGUGCUUUGUCAUAGUAGGAGGAAGUUCAUUGGUUGUCAUUUGGAGGAUGAAGCCAAGAUGAUAACUAUUUUGUGGGCAGUAGAAAGCAUGACCAGCCAAAGAGUAAAGAAUGCCAUAUUUGCAGGUGAAAUCAAGGAAUAUUUUCUUUUUCGAGCUAUACCUGAUGCUUGGCCUGCGUUGAGCUUUCAAGAUAUGGAGGUGAUGACUGCUCUCUCUGGUCUGGAUGACAAGGUUGGUUAGUGAAUACGGUGCACUAAAAUGCCAAUAGAGUAGCUUCUUUCAUAGUUCAUAGUUUAAUCAAUAUGGGUUUUGUUCCGUCGUAUAUAUGUAGCUAAAUUUAAUUAUAGUUAAUUAAAUUUAU